Molecule: ribosomal RNA, 681 nt
Filed under: uncultured Bacillota bacterium
Lineage: Bacteria; Bacillati; Bacillota
Description: bacterial SSU rRNA
Rfam family: Bacterial small subunit ribosomal RNA
Source: RNAcentral
AAGAGUUUGAUCAUGGGCUCAGGAUAAACGCUGGCGGCGUGCAUAACACAUGCAAGUCGAACGAUGAAGCUUAACUGAUUUCUUCGGAAUGAUUUUAAGUGGAUUAGUGGCGGACGGGUGAGUAACGCGUGAGUAACCUGCCUUGCACAAGGGGAUAGCCGUUGGAAACGACGAAUAAUACCCUAUGAUAUAAACUCUUCGCAUGAAGAGCUUAUCAAAGAUUUAUCGGUGUAAGAUGGACUCGCGUCUGAUUAGCUAGUUGGUGGGAUAAAAGCCUACCAAGGCAACGAUCAGUAGCCGGCUUGAGAGAGUGUACGGCCACAUUGGGACUGAGACACGGCCCAGACUCCUACGGGAGGCAGCAGUGGGGAAUUUUGCACAAUGGGGGAAACCCUGAUGCAGCGACGCCGCGUGAUUUAGAAGGCCUUCGGGUUGUAAAAAUCUUUUGUAUGGGAAGAAAAUGACAGUACCAUACGAAUAAGGACCGGCUAAUUACGUGNCAGCAGCCGCGGUAAUACGUAAGGUCCGAGCGUUGUCCGGAAUCAUUGGGCGUAAAGGGUACGUAGGCGGAUAAGCAAGUUAGAAGUGAAAUCCUAUAGCUCAACUAUAUUAAGCUUUUAAAACUGCUCAUCUUGAGGUAUGGAAGGGAAAGUGGAAUUCCUAGUGUAGCGGGUGAAAUGC